GAUGAAGAACGUAGCGAAAUGCGAUAAGUAGUGUGAAUUGCAGAAUUCAGUGAAUCAUCGAAUCUUUGAACGCACAUUGCGCCCCUUGGUAUUCCAUGGGGCAUGCCUGUUCGAGCGUCAUUUCAACCAUCAAGCCCCCGGCUUGUGUUGGGGACCUGCGGCUGCCGCAGGCCCUGAAAACCAGUGGCGGGCUCGCUAGUCACUCCGAGCGUAGUAAUACAUCUCGCUCAGGGCGUGCUGCGGGUUCCGGCCGUUAAAACACCUUAUUUACCCAAGGUUGACCUCGGAUCAGGUAGGAAGACCCGCUGAACUUAAGCAUAUCAAUAAGCGGAGGA
This 335-nucleotide unclassified non-coding RNA is filed under the name soil metagenome. RNAcentral's name for it is "partial contains 5.8S ribosomal RNA, internal transcribed spacer 2, and large subunit ribosomal RNA". The stretch from base 1 to 120 matches the Rfam family "5.8S ribosomal RNA", at positions 35 to 154 of the family's 154-position model. The record is from RNAcentral.